GACGAACGCUGGCGGCGUGCCUAAUACAUGCAAGUAGAACGCAGUUGCGAACGGGUGAGUAACGAGUCGGCAACUGCCUCAGAGCGGGGGUAAACUAUUGGAAACGAUAGCUAAUACCCUAUACGUCGAGAUGGACCUGCGUUGUGUUAGCUAGUUGGUGAGGUAAAGGGUCACCAAGGCGACGAUACAUAGCCGGCCUGAGAGGGUAGUCUGCCCCACUGGGACUUAGGACCGGCCCAGACCCCUGCGGUGAGCAGGAGUAGGGAAUCUUCGGGAAUGGGCGGAAGUCUGACCGAGCAACGCCGGGUGGGUGAAGAAGGUUUUCGGAUCGUAAAGCUCUGUUGUUUGAGGAGCGGUACCUAACCAGAAAGGGACGGCUAACUACGUGCCAGCCGCCGCGGUAAUAC
Molecule: ribosomal RNA, 407 nt
Filed under: uncultured bacterium
Lineage: Bacteria
Description: partial 16S ribosomal RNA
Rfam family: Bacterial small subunit ribosomal RNA
Source: RNAcentral